Ruditapes philippinarum (Manila clam) is the source of this 615-nucleotide long non-coding RNA. RefSeq lists it as uncharacterized. NCBI's taxonomy places the organism in Eukaryota, Metazoa, Mollusca, Bivalvia, Venerida, Veneridae. The transcript has 2 exons. The record is from RefSeq and is a predicted model, not a curated record.
UCAUCAUAUUUAUUACAGUUUGUACAAAUCUUAAAAUGCAGCAAAAGAAAUAAAAGACACGUAAAAACAUUAUACAUUUUGGUUUCUUACACUACUUACAAACAAUGAUAUAAACUUUUUGAGAUAUGUCUUUUUAUUCUGUUAUUUGUUAGGUUAGAAAAAUAAAGCUUGGAAGUAUGGUUUACAGAAAAGCAUUAACCGAAGCAAGAUAAACAUGUACACAAUUAAACAGCAUUAGCAGUGUGACGUUAUCUUCCAUCAAAAACAAUGUUCAGAUCUUCCAAACAUACUAUUUCUUGCCAUUUGUUUGGCAACUAGUAACAACAUAUCAGCAAACCAAUAUUAGACCGCCACAAGACUUUCAGAUAAUAACACGUUAACAGUUUGUUACUCCCUUUGUACACACGAAUGCCAUUUUUUGAGGUCAGAUAAAAAUCGCGAUCUUUCGUGUUUUCUUUUAAUCUUUUGAGAACGUAUCUUCUUUGAUUUAUUGUUGUUUUCUGUUGUAACAGUUGUUUUUUUCAAUACUAUUUUAAAAUCGCAAGAAAUAUAUAUUAUAUAUAAGUACACAAUCAUUACUUCAUAUCAGUACAAUUUAUGUAAAUGCUAAACGUA